CCCGUCCGGUCCGACCAGAAAUCGACUACCCGUAUCUGGUAUACUUGGAAAGUCGGUUUGAGGAACUGGUGUGUGGCGGUACUCUAAUAACACCCUGGCACGUUCUCACGACCGCUCACUGUACGACGAGGAUGACCGAAAUCGUGGUAACCGUUACAGCACAUCAUAGACAACACGCAGACGCAAGACUCGUUUACAUUCAUCCAGAUUUUGACUCGUACAACCAGACCGCGGACAUCAGCAUCGUAGUUUUACGCGAACCGUUAAACGUGAUUAGGUACGUACAGCUGCCAGAUAUUAUCAGUGACCCGAUCAACGACAACUCCACUACCAAAGCGCUGAAUUGCGUGGUGGUGGCGAGAAGAUGGAUGACACCCUAUUAUUACAUG
Molecule: long non-coding RNA, 389 nt
Organism: Aphis gossypii (cotton aphid)
Lineage: Eukaryota; Metazoa; Arthropoda; Insecta; Hemiptera; Aphididae
Exons: 3
Source: RefSeq, a predicted model, not a curated record